AGUGAACGCUGGCGGUAGGCCUAACACAUGCAAGUCGAACGGCAGCACAGUAAGAGCUUGCUCUUACGGGUGGCGAGUGGCGGACGGGUGAGGAAUACAUCGGAAUCUACUUUUUCGUGGGGGAUAACGUAGGGAAACUUACGCUAAUACCGCAUACGACCUACGGGUGAAAGCAGGGGAUCUUCGGACCUUGCGCGAUUAAUGAGCCGAUGUCGGAUUAGCUAGUUGGCGGGGUAAAGGCCCACCAAGGCGACGAUCCGUAGCUGGUCUGAGAGGAUGAUCAGCCACACUGGAACUGAGACACGGUCCAGACUCCUACGGGAGGCAGCAGUGGGGAAUAUUGGACAAUGGGCGCAAGCCUGAUCCAGCCAUACCGCGUGGGUGAAGAAGGCCUUCGGUUUGUAAAGCCCUUUUGUUGGGAAAGAAAAGCAGCAGGUUAAUACCCCGCUGUUCUGACGGUACCCAAAGAAUAAGCACCGGCUAACUUCGUG
Molecule: ribosomal RNA, 491 nt
Filed under: uncultured bacterium
Lineage: Bacteria
Description: partial 16S ribosomal RNA
Rfam family: Bacterial small subunit ribosomal RNA
Source: RNAcentral